RNAcentral lists this long non-coding RNA (822 nucleotides) under Homo sapiens (human). Its description in RNAcentral is "HSALNT0125989". Lineage: Eukaryota; Metazoa; Chordata; Mammalia; Primates; Hominidae. The record is from RNAcentral.
CAAGGAAGCGCUAAGAAGGAGGAUGUGGGGGCAGUGUUCCAGCAGGCAUCCCAGGCUCUUCCGGCUGGAGAGCUCAGGAGACUGAGCGGUGUCAAGGCUGGAGUGAGCUAUAGGGUGCGCUGGGAGGAGGAUGGCCCAGGAGGUGGUCUGGGCACCGAAGAAUCGCGCUGGCCCUGACCGCAUGCCCCAGCCUUCCUGGGGUUUGUGAGGAGCUCUGAAGAACAGCAAAACACAGUAGUCCCAAAAAAGAGAGUAAGAGAGAGCAGCCCAUCUAAUAGAGUGUCCCGGAGGCCAGCGCCAGCGGGUGCUGUAAGGAGCCCGGCGGCGGCAGGUGGGAAUUGAUUGAGCUGGCUGCACUUGUGUACCAGGAUGCAGAGUUCUCCAGGCCCCAGCUGGGUUGGAGGAGUAAAAGGAAUGGGACAAUCCAGGAAGACUUCUCACGUACAAUAGCGCCCCCCACCUCGCGACCCUUCGGUGGCCGUGGCCUGAAGCUCCCGUAGGCUCAGGGCACGACCCUUCAGUUUCUCCGCUCCAGGCGACGUUCUCAGCCUUUUCUUAGCCUGAGACCACCGCGAGAACACCAGGCCUUGCUCACCCCCGAGGAGGCUCUACAUUGUUAAGAAAACCAGAUAGCUGCUCUGGGCUGCCUAGGCCGCCCUAGAAAUAACCCUCCGCUUGCUUUCAACCCGCGAAAUUGGCCCCACAGCUCCGGAGGCCCGCUACGGGGUGGGGGCGGGGGGCGCGGUUAGUGGGAGGUAUCUCCAGACCGCUGAUGAAUACCAUCCCCACCGUCUCAAGGCCUGACUCACCGAGUUAAAGCAU